RNAcentral lists this ribosomal RNA (1416 nucleotides) under Limosilactobacillus fermentum. RNAcentral's name for it is "bacterial SSU rRNA". It matches the Rfam family "Bacterial small subunit ribosomal RNA". Lineage: Bacteria; Bacillati; Bacillota; Bacilli; Lactobacillales; Lactobacillaceae. The record is from RNAcentral.
CAGUCGACGCGUUGGCCCAAUUGAUUGAUGGUGCUUGCACCUGAUUGAUUUUGGUCGCCAACGAGUGGCGGACGGGUGAGUAACACGUAGGUAACCUGCCCAGAAGCGGGGGACAACAUUUGGAAACAGAUGCUAAUACCGCAUAACAGCGUUGUUCGCAUGAACAACGCUUAAAAGAUGGCUUCUCGCUAUCACUUCUGGAUGGACCUGCGGUGCAUUAGCUUGUUGGUGGGGUAACGGCCUACCAAGGCGAUGAUGCAUAGCCGAGUUGAGAGACUGAUCGGCCACAAUGGGACUGAGACACGGCCCAUACUCCUACGGGAGGCAGCAGUAGGGAAUCUUCCACAAUGGGCGCAAGCCUGAUGGAGCAACACCGCGUGAGUGAAGAAGGGUUUCGGCUCGUAAAGCUCUGUUGUUAAAGAAGAACACGUAUGAGAGUAACUGUUCAUACGUUGACGGUAUUUAACCAGAAAGUCACGGCUAACUACGUGCCAGCAGCCGCGGUAAUACGUAGGUGGCAAGCGUUAUCCGGAUUUAUUGGGCGUAAAGAGAGUGCAGGCGGUUUUCUAAGUCUGAUGUGAAAGCCUUCGGCUUAACCGGAGAAGUGCAUCGGAAACUGGAUAACUUGAGUGCAGAAGAGGGUAGUGGAACUCCAUGUGUAGCGGUGGAAUGCGUAGAUAUAUGGAAGAACACCAGUGGCGAAGGCGGCUACCUGGUCUGCAACUGACGCUGAGACUCGAAAGCAUGGGUAGCGAACAGGAUUAGAUACCCUGGUAGUCCAUGCCGUAAACGAUGAGUGCUAGGUGUUGGAGGGUUUCCGCCCUUCAGUGCCGGAGCUAACGCAUUAAGCACUCCGCCUGGGGAGUACGACCGCAAGGUUGAAACUCAAAGGAAUUGACGGGGGCCCGCACAAGCGGUGGAGCAUGUGGUUUAAUUCGAAGCUACGCGAAGAACCUUACCAGGUCUUGACAUCUUGCGCCAACCCUAGAGAUAGGGCGUUUCCUUCGGGAACGCAAUGACAGGUGGUGCAUGGUCGUCGUCAGCUCGUGUCGUGAGAUGUUGGGUUAAGUCCCGCAACGAGCGCAACCCUUGUUACUAGUUGCCAGCAUUAAGUUGGGCACUCUAGUGAGACUGCCGGUGACAAACCGGAGGAAGGUGGGGACGACGUCAGAUCAUCAUGCCCCUUAUGACCUGGGCUACACACGUGCUACAAUGGACGGUACAACGAGUCGCGAACUCGCGAGGGCAAGCAAAUCUCUUAAAACCGUUCUCAGUUCGGACUGCAGGCUGCAACUCGCCUGCACGAAGUCGGAAUCGCUAGUAAUCGCGGAUCAGCAUGCCGCGGUGAAUACGUUCCCGGGCCUUGUACACACCGCCCGUCACACCAUGAGAGUUUGUAACACCCAAAGUCGGUGG